Molecule: long non-coding RNA, 1407 nt
Filed under: Sus scrofa (pig)
Lineage: Eukaryota; Metazoa; Chordata; Mammalia; Artiodactyla; Suidae
Description: lncRNA (ENSSSCG00030043373.1)
Source: RNAcentral
AGCUGGUCUUUUUGCUGUCACAUCACAUGUUAGCCCACCUCCUACAGGGAAUAGUCUACAGCACUUCAUGGGCUUCUUUUUGGAACAUGGUUCUCAUAUUCGACCCAUCAUGAAGAUCCCCAAGGAGCUUAUGAGAAAUAAAUUCCUGGGCCCAAGCUCGGACAUACUCAAUCUGAAUUUCUGGAAUGGGUCCUAGAGAGCCAUAGCUUUAUCACACUCUCUGGGAGAUUCUGAAGAUGAAUCAGGUCUAGAAACUGUAAACCUGAAAGAAUAACUUAGAUUAUUUCCCCUAAACUUGCUGUCUUGCAUUUGUCCCCAUAGAGACUCAUCUACAAUUUUCCUGCCAACUCCUGGAAUGUUGAGAGAAUAUCCUGUGAUAUAUUUCCUUUGGAAAUGCCAUGUUUGUCACUGUGCAUUCUUGACUCUCUGUUAUAAAAGCAGCCCCUGGUGGGAAGAAAGCCUGCUGACAGACUUCUCUCUCUUCGAGAGAAAGGAGAAAAAGAAAAACCAUACCUGGGCCAUGCUCAGCUCUGAAUACCUCAAAGGAAUCAUCUCUGCAACCAGGUUAGAUGAUCUAGAAUUGCUUUGUAAAAAAUCAGUUUGCUUCAGGACAUCAAGGUGGGGGUUAUAUUCUCCUCUAGGAUAGAUCUUGGGGUCCAGCUCACUCUGGAAUGCCUAAGUGCAUCCACCAUUGUUGUAACCAUCCCAUUUCAUCCCAGCUAUUUUCUUUCUGGGGAAGCCUCUUAGAUUGACAAAUGUUAUUGGAAUUGGAUGUCUGUUCUUUGAGCGGCCCCAACAUCAAUUUCACAAAUGCCACUGUUCUUUUGUUCAGCAUCCUUCAUUGGCCUCAAUGCUCAACAGGGUUUUUAGCAGCGAGGGGAGCAGAGAUGUGAGAUUAGUGUUCACCAAGGUAUUGAUCCGACGCACUGGGACACCUUUUUGGCUCCCGGUCAGAUUCUGCUCAGUGACUUACCUGACAAACACAGUUAACACUUGACAGCCAUUCUCGUUGGCAUUUCCAGUGCUCAGCUGACAAGCCACACAACUGGCAGUAUGUAUAGAUUUGUUCUUGUGGCCAGCCAUCUGGAAAGCCUUCCAGAAUAUUAAAUUAAACAGACCUUCUGUUCCUAGCCAGCUACUAAAUACACAGAGCGCCGGCACAAUAUGGCACAAGCUUUGGCAAGCCUAAAGUCUUUUACUAGAAUAAGUACAUUUCCAGCAACAUAAAAUGAACUAUCAACUUCUCCUGAACAAUCUUAGUACCUUAGGCAGAAAGAAUGGUUAGACCAAACUCAGAGAAAUCACAUGGAAAAUUUUCAAUUAGAGAGAAAAGAACCCGGAGGCUUUGAAGUGAGGGAGCUGAGUAAGAACCAGGAGAGAGAAAGGAAAGAUAAAAUUGGCUUAUAC